RNAcentral lists this ribosomal RNA (222 nucleotides) under uncultured fungus. Its description in RNAcentral is "partial small subunit ribosomal RNA". The stretch from base 108 to 222 matches the Rfam family "Eukaryotic small subunit ribosomal RNA", at positions 748 to 864 of the family's 1831-position model. The record is from RNAcentral. Lineage: Eukaryota; Fungi.
GGUCGGGACGGUCGGUCCGCCCCUCACGGGGUGUGCACCAUGGCCUGUUCCGGCCAUCCUCGGGGAGAACGUCUGCUGGCAUUAAGUUGUCGGUGGCGGUAUCCCCGUCAUUUACUGUGAGCAAAAUAGAGUGUUCAAAGCAGGCUUAAGCCGUUGAAUACAUUAGCAUGGAAUAAUAAGAUACGACCUUGGGUCUAUUUUGUUGGUUUGCGGUCCGAGGUA